MicroRNA precursor from Aotus nancymaae (Ma's night monkey), 75 nucleotides. NCBI's taxonomy places the organism in Eukaryota, Metazoa, Chordata, Mammalia, Primates, Aotidae. The record is from Ensembl.
GGGAGGUUGAGGCUGCAGUGAGUUGUGAUCACACCACUGCACUCCAGCCUGAGUGACAGAGCAAGACCUUGUCUC